GACGAACGCUGGCGGCGUGCUUAACACAUGCAAGUCGAACGGUGAAGCGCCUUCCUUUUUGGUGGGUGUGGAUGAGUGGCGAACGGGUGAGUAACACGUGAGUAACCUGCCCCCUUCUUCUGGAUAACCGCAUGAAAGUGUGGCUAAUACGGGAUAUUCUGGGUCUGUCGCAUGAUGGGUCUGGGAAAGAUAUUGUUUCGGUGGGGGAUGGGCUCGCGGCCUAUCAGCUUGUUGGUGGGGUGAUGGCCUACCAAGGCGGUGACGGGUAGCCGGCCUGAGAGGGUGGACGGUCACACUGGGACUGAGACACGGCCCAGACUCCUACGGGAGGCAGCAGUGGGGAAUAUUGCACAAUGGGCGCAAGCCUGAUGAAGCGACGCCGCGUGAGGGAUGGAGGCCUUCGGGUUGUGAACCUCUUUCGCCAGUGAAGCAGGCCUGCCUCGUUUGUGGGUGGGUUGACGGUAGCUGGAUAAGAAGCGCCGGCUAACUACGUG
This 494-nucleotide ribosomal RNA is filed under the name uncultured bacterium. RNAcentral describes it as "partial 16S ribosomal RNA". It matches the Rfam family "Bacterial small subunit ribosomal RNA", at positions 28 to 507 of the family's 1533-position model. The record is from RNAcentral.